Molecule: ribosomal RNA, 465 nt
Filed under: Vreelandella stevensii
Lineage: Bacteria; Pseudomonadati; Pseudomonadota; Gammaproteobacteria; Oceanospirillales; Halomonadaceae
Description: partial 16S ribosomal RNA
Rfam family: Bacterial small subunit ribosomal RNA
Source: RNAcentral
CCUACGGGAGGCUGCAGUGGGGAAUAUUGGACAAUGGGGGCAACCCUGAUCCAGCCAUGCCGCGUGUGUGAAGAAGGCCCUCGGGUUGUAAAGCACUUUCAGUGAGGAAGAACGCCUGGUGGUUAAUACCCAUCAGGAAAGACAGCACUCACAGAAGAAGCACCGGCUAACUCCGUGCCAGCAGCCGCGGUAAUACGGAGGGUGCGAGCGUUAAUCGGAAUUACUGGGCGUAAAGCGCGCGUAGGUGGCUUGAUAAGCCGGUUGUGAAAGCCCCGGGCUCAACCUGGGAACGGCAUCCGGAACUGUCAAGCUAGAGUGCAGGAGAGGAAGGUAGAAUUCCCGGUGUAGCGGUGAAAUGCGUAGAGAUCGGGAGGAAUACCAGUGGCGAAGGCGGCCUUCUGGACUGACACUGACACUGAGGUGCGAAAGCGUGGGUAGCAAACAGGAUUAGAUACCCUGGUAGUC